Molecule: long non-coding RNA, 1074 nt
Filed under: Fragaria vesca (wild strawberry)
Lineage: Eukaryota; Viridiplantae; Streptophyta; Magnoliopsida; Rosales; Rosaceae
Description: long non-coding RNA (FVES_LNC005381)
Source: RNAcentral
GGCAUCUGACAUCUAACGUUUUAUCCAUUACUUUUACUCAUGUAAAGCAUGAGGCGAAUUUUCUUACGGAUUCUCUAGCUAAGUCUGGACAUGAUCAUGAUGCAAGAGUCUUGAUUUUGGGUCUUAUUAUGUAAUUUCUUUUCUCAUUUGAAGAAGAGGGGGAAAAAAAAAAAAAACACACAAAACCAAUGCUUGAGGCUACUUUUGCUAAAAUUGAAAACACUGUUACACAUGUAAACUAUUGAGUUAAGAUUAUGUUAAAUCGGGUGUAAUACAUUUUACAUAGCAAAACUGGAACCUCCUUUUUUAUUUCUUUACCAAAAAAAAAAUAGAGAAGUGAGGUAUUACACCUACUGUUAUUUCAUCGUAUAAUAUUGUGCAAGUCCUAAUUGAGCUAACAACCAAACCAAAGCUUAAGGUUGGAGAUAUAUAUUCCAUUUAAUCUCAAAAGACAUGGUAAUGUCUUUGAUGUCAUACCAUAUACAGUGAGAAAAUUAUUUCUCACCCACCACCUCAACCAUUUACCAUCAAUUGGUCAAACAUCCAAAUUUUAUUCAAUAAUAAGAAUUAUUAUUCCAUAUAUAACAUCAUUUCAUAUCACUAUUUCACCAAAAAUACCCUUAGAAAUUAAUCCCCAUCAAAUGUCACAAUAAUGAUCAUAACCACCCAUCACCCGCAAUUGCAACAUGUUAGUUUGAUUUAUAUUGUUGCAUAUGUAAUUCCAGCGUUUACCCACAUUAUGCAUAAAAUGAAAUGAACUGUUUGCCACUUCAGACAAUCCAAAACAAAUGACGAAUCAAUCGAUCUACAAAACUCCUAUCUAAGUAUCAAGGGAGCGAAUUCCUCUUAUGCGAGAAUGUAGGAGAUAAAGAUACCAAACAAUAUGAUAUCCGGCUCUCUUAUCAAAUGUUUAACUUUUUUGUUUUGUUUUUCAACACAAGGCGAAUUUCAUCCUAUCACCACAAGCUACAAAGUAAAUGAGAUGGUAAAAAUAAUAACGAACAUGUAAAGAGAAAUUUUAAAUACACACGUCUAAUAUCUUAAUACACACCUCUAUUAUUUUAUAUUUCACAU